Molecule: ribosomal RNA, 454 nt
Filed under: uncultured organism
Description: partial 16S ribosomal RNA
Rfam family: Bacterial small subunit ribosomal RNA
Source: RNAcentral
ACGUACACUCCUGCGGGAGGCAGCAGUGGGGAAUCUUGCGCAAUGGGCGAAAGCCUGACGCAGCCAUGCCGCGUGAAUGAUGAAGGUCUUAGGAUUGUAAAAUUCUUUCACCGGGGACGAUAAUGACGGUACCCGGAGAAGAAGCCCCGGCUAACUUCGUGCCAGCAGCCGCGGUAAUACGAAGGGGGCUAGCGUUGCUCGGAAUUACUGGGCGUAAAGGGAGCGUAGGCGGACAUUUAAGUCAGGGGUGAAAUCCCGGGGCUCAACCUCGGAAUUGCCUUUGAUACUGGGUGUCUUGAGUAUGAGAGAGGUGUGUGGAACUCCGAGUGUAGAGGUGAAAUUCGUAGAUAUUCGGAAGAACACCAGUGGCGAAGGCGACACACUGGCUCAUUACUGACGCUGAGGCUCGAAAGCGUGGGGAGCAAACAGGAUUAGAUACCCCUGUAGUCCCAUG